UGGGGAAUAUUGCACAAUGGGGGAAACCCUGAUGCAGCGACGCCGCGUGGAGGAAGAAGGUCUUCGGAUUGUAAACUCCUGUUGUUGAGGAAGAUAAUGACGGUACUCAACAAGGAAGUGACGGCUAACUACGUGCCAGCAGCCGCGGUAAAACGUAGGUCACAAGCGUUGUCCGGAAUUACUGGGUGUAAAGGGAGCGCAGGCGGGCGAUCAAGUUGGAAGUGAAAUCCAUGGGCUCAACCCAUGAACUGCUUUCAAAACUGGUCGUCUUGAGUAGUGCAGAGGUAGGCGGAAUUCCCGGUGUAGCGGUGGAAUGCGUAGAUAUCGGGAGGAACACCAGUGGCGAAGGCGGCCUACUGGGCACCAACUGACGCUGAGGCUCGAAAGUGUGGGUAGCAAACAGGAUUAGAUACCCUGGUAGUCCACACCGUAAACGAUGAUUACUAGGUGUUGGGAGAUUGACCCUCUCAGUGCCGCAGUUAACACAAUAAGUAAUCCACCUGGGGAGUACGACCGCAAGGUUGAAACUCAAAGGAGUUGACGGGGGCCCGCACAAGCAGUGGAGUAUGUGGUUUAAUUCGACGCAACGCGAAGAACCUUACCAAGUCUUGACAUCCCUUGACGAUGCUGGAAACAGUAUUUCUCUUCGGAGCAAGGAGACAGGUGGUGCAUGGUUGUCGUCAGCUCGUGUCGUGAGAUGUUGGGUUAAGUCCCGCAACGAGCGCAACCCUUAUGGUCAGUUACUACGCAAGAGGACUCUGGCCAGACUGCCGUUGACAAAACGGAGGAAGGUGGGGAUGACGUCAAAUCAUCAUGCCCUUUAUGACUUGGGCUACACACGUACUACAAUGGCGUUAAACAAAGAGAAGCAAGACCGCGAGGUGGAGCAAAACUCAGAAACAACGUCCCAGUUCGGACUGCAGGCUGCAACUCGCCUGCACGAAGUCGGAAUUGCUAGUAAUCGUGGAUCAGCAUGCCACGGCGAAUACGUUCCC
RNAcentral lists this ribosomal RNA (995 nucleotides) under uncultured bacterium. RNAcentral's name for it is "bacterial SSU rRNA". It matches the Rfam family "Bacterial small subunit ribosomal RNA", at positions 355 to 1375 of the family's 1533-position model. The record is from RNAcentral.